CGCCUUGCCAGCCCGCUCAGAAACUCAAAGGAAUUGACGGGGGCCCGCACAAGCAGCGGAGCAUGUGGUUUAAUUCGAAGCAACGCGAAGAACCUUACCAAGACUUGACAUCCCCUGACAGCUGUUGAAAGGCAGUGUCUCUUCGGAGCAGGGAGACAGGUGGUGCAUGGUUGUCGUCAGCUCGUGUCGUGAGAUGUUGGGUUAAGUCCCGCAACGAGCGCAACCCUUAUCCUUAGUUACCAGCACGUAAAGGUGGGGACUCUAGGGAGACCGCCGGGGACGACUCGGAGGAAGGUGGGGACGACGUCAAAUCAUCAUGCCCCUUAUGUCUUGGGCUACACACGUGCUACAAUGGCCGCAACAGAGGGAAGCGAGAGCGCAAGCUGGAGCAAAACCCUAAAAAGCGGUCCCAGUUCGGAUUGCAGGCUGAAACUCGCCUACAUGAAGUUGGAGUUGCUAGUAAUCGCGAAUCAGAAUGUCGCGGUGAAUGCGUUCCCGGGUCUU
RNAcentral lists this ribosomal RNA (504 nucleotides) under uncultured Lachnospiraceae bacterium. Its description in RNAcentral is "bacterial SSU rRNA". It matches the Rfam family "Bacterial small subunit ribosomal RNA", at positions 903 to 1382 of the family's 1533-position model. Lineage: Bacteria; Bacillati; Bacillota; Clostridia; Lachnospirales; Lachnospiraceae. The record is from RNAcentral.